RNAcentral lists this transfer RNA (50 nucleotides) under Bolusiella batesii. Its description in RNAcentral is "partial tRNA-Leu". Lineage: Eukaryota; Viridiplantae; Streptophyta; Magnoliopsida; Asparagales; Orchidaceae. The record is from RNAcentral. RNAcentral also lists the same sequence under 1 other name.
AAAUCCGUCGAAUUUUUAAAUUUGUGAGGGUUCAAGUCCCUCUAUCCCCA